This 682-nucleotide long non-coding RNA is filed under the name Populus trichocarpa (black cottonwood). RNAcentral describes it as "long non-coding RNA (PTRI_LNC001240)". The record is from RNAcentral. Lineage: Eukaryota; Viridiplantae; Streptophyta; Magnoliopsida; Malpighiales; Salicaceae.
AUGUUUCUUCUCGGUAGUCUGAUGAAUUAUUAUUAUUAUUAUAGUUCAUAUUAAUUUAUCACUUCAAAAAACACUUUGUCGUGUCUGUUCACACUUGUCUGAUUCUUCUUACAGUGCCGGCCCCUCUUCGUCUUAUCUCGUGCUGCAUUUAUUAAAUAUCAUAGGCUGAUCUGAUGCAUGUUCAUAAGAGACAACGCAGAGAAUAAUACCAUGUGACAUAUAUUAGAUAUGUAUCCUCUCUUGGUUAAAUUCAAAAGUCAAAUCUUUAUCUUGGGAACUGCAUUAUUGAGUCUCAGCAUGUGGUUUUUCCUUUGACUCUUUGGGAUAUAUUUGACUUCAACGAACAAAUUAAUUAUAUUACUUUUGGUUUUUAUUAUUAUUAUUGUAUUGCUGUGAUGGAUUUGGAGAUAUGCAACGAAUUGUCUCUAUGAAAUUCUUGACUGAUUCUUUUUAGUAUGAACAGUCAGUGGAUGUUAGUGGUCCAAAACAUUAAUUGUCAAGGAAAAAAAAAAAGAAAAAGAAAAGAAAAGAAAACAUAUGGGUACGUACGUAGCAGAUUAAUUUGCUGGCCCCUCGAGAUAUACGAGUGGAAGAUGCUUUUAGCUGUGGAUUUCUUAAUGAUGUUUUAUUUACAUUUAAAAGAAGAUCCAUUCUCUUAAAGAACUAGUUUAAAUGGCUGGUG